This 701-nucleotide long non-coding RNA is filed under the name Cottoperca gobio. RNAcentral's name for it is "lncRNA (ENSCGOG00000017631.1)". The record is from RNAcentral. Lineage: Eukaryota; Metazoa; Chordata; Actinopteri; Perciformes; Bovichtidae.
GAGUAGAGCCCGGAGGAGUUUGAGAGAGAGGCGGUUACCUCAUCGUCGUCGCGAGGCGGAGCGAAUCGCUGCAACUUUUGGAUGAACUUCUAAUUUGAACAAACCGAGAGGCGGUCGGCAGAGUGUACGGACAACAACAGACACAAAAAGGUGAAGAGAUUUAGAGGUUUUCUGCUACGAAGUCUUUACAGCCGGUUCGUUUUAUCUUUACCGGCCGUGGCGGUUGGUGUAUGCCGAUGACUGACCCGCGAGAGCGUUAUUUUUCCUCUCGAAAACGCCGACAAGGUGGAAAUUUAUAAAGGGUCACCUGAGAUCCUUCAGACUGUGUCACCUGCAGCUCACUGGCCUCGACAAGAUCCCGGGAUCAUCAGUGAUUUGUGACGAGAUCCAGACACCCGCAGAAAAAUAAGAGCUCUUUUUUCCUCCUCUCGUCAAGGCCAGUCCUAUUUUCUCAGUUCCUGAGUUGGUCCCACCCAGACUGAAUGGAGUUCUUUUUUUGCAUGGUUGCAAUGCAGACUGCUUUUUAGAGACUUCAACUGUGAAAGUUGAACUUCAACACUUUUUCUGUUCCUCAAGCUGCAUAAAGCACCAAAUGUAUCCCUGAGACUCUCUCGUCACUUCACUCAGUGGGCAUUAUGUUGACCCUAAUCUAAACCCAUCAGCCGCCCAUCCCUACCUUUCCCUCCCAUCUCCCCUCCCCA